UUCCGGUUGAUCCUGCCGGACCUGACUGCUAUCGGAUUGAUACAAAGCCAUGCGAGUCUUUGUAGUAAUACAAGGCAUACGGCUCAGUAACGCGUAGUCAACCUACCCUAUGGACGGGGAUAAUCUCGGGAAACUGAGCAUAAUACCCGGCAGACCACUUAUCCUGGAAUGGUUUAUGGCUUAAAUGAAUUUCGCCAUAGGAUGGGACUGCGGCCUAUCAGCUUGUUGGUGAGGUAAUGGCCCACCAAGGCUAUAACAGGUACGGGCUCUGAGAGGAGUAGCCCGGAGAUGGGUACUGAGAUAAGGACCCAGGUCCUAUGGGACGCAGCAGGCGAGAAAACUUUGCAAUGUGCGAAAGCACGACAAGGUUAAUCCGAGUGUUUCCUGCUAAAGGAAUCUUUUGUUAGUCGUAGAAUCACUAUCGAAUAAGGGGUGGGCAAGUUCUGGUGUCAGCCGCCGCGGUAAAACCAGCACCUCAAGUGGUCAGGAGGAUUAUUGGGCCUAAAGCAUCCGUAGCCUGUUUUGUAAGUCUUCGGUUAAAUCCACAUGCUUAACAUGUGGGCUGCCGGAGAUACUGCAAAACUAGGGAGUGGGAGAGGUAGACGGUACUUGAUAGGAAGGGGUAAAAUCCUUUGAUCUAUUGAUGACCACCUGUGGCGAAGGCGGUCUACCAGAACACGUUCGACGGUGAGGGAUGAAAGCUGGGGGAGCAAACCGGAUUAGAUACCCGGGUAGUCCCAGCUGUAAACGAUGCA
RNAcentral lists this ribosomal RNA (755 nucleotides) under uncultured Candidatus Nitrosopelagicus sp. Its description in RNAcentral is "bacterial SSU rRNA". It matches the Rfam family "Archaeal small subunit ribosomal RNA", at positions 1 to 764 of the family's 1478-position model. The record is from RNAcentral. Lineage: Archaea; Thermoproteati; Nitrososphaerota.